RNAcentral lists this ribosomal RNA (831 nucleotides) under Triticum aestivum (bread wheat). RNAcentral describes it as "partial small subunit ribosomal RNA". The record is from RNAcentral. Lineage: Eukaryota; Viridiplantae; Streptophyta; Magnoliopsida; Poales; Poaceae.
AUGCGCACCGAGGCACUGACGAAGAAGGCGUGCAACCGCUGGGCCGUGAUAGAGCCCCUUCUAACGUGGUUAGAAGUCGGAGCGCGUCGUGAUCCACACAGGUUUCGCCGCCACCCACGCCACCCAUGCCCUCGGAGGCCUUGGCGCGCGCGCAGCUGCUCCUCGACUUCCCUCCAACUGCUGAAAAGCUCGAUAAAUGGAGAGGCACUAUCCGGAGCCUCGUUGGUGUCGCCAACAAAGACAAGACACGACCAACAGGGCCAUCCGGCCGGCACUCCGUCGAGCCGCAGGACUGGUGAGAGGAGUGCUCCAUCCGACGUGGUUGGCCAAUCUAGUAGUGGUGUGCAAGGCGAAUGGGAAGUGAGGCCAUGUAUUGACUACACAUAUAUCAAUAAGGCUUGUCCCAAGGACCCUUUCCCAUUGCCGUGCAUCGACCAAAUUGUUGACUCCAUGGCCGGGUGUGAUCUGUUGUCAUUCCUUGAUGCCUACUCAGGAUACCACCAGAUCUUUAUGACGAAACAAGACAAAGAGAAGAGAACGUUCAUCACCCCAUGUGGUACGUAUUGUUUUAUACGGAUGCCUUUUGGGUUGAAGAGUGCUGGCUCGACGUUUGCAAGAGCAGUCCAGAUUGGUUUUGAGCCCCAGCUACAUAGAAAUAUGGAAGCUUAUAUGGAUGACAUAGUGGUUGUCGGUGUCAAAACCGGCGGAUCUCGGGUAGGGGGUCCCGAACUGUGCGUCUGGGCGGAUGGUAACAUGAGACGAGGGACACGAUGUUUUACCCAGGUUCGGGCCCUCUUGAUGGAGGUAAAACCCUACAUCCUGCUUGAUUAA